CCUACGGGAUGCAGCAGUGAGGAAUAUUGGUCAAUGGACGAGAGUCUGAACCAGCCAAGUAGCGUGAAGGAUGACUGCCCUCUGGGUUGUAACCUUCUUUUAUAUGGGAAUAAAAUGUUUCACGUGUGGGAUUUUGUAUGUACCAUAUGAAUAAGGAUCGGCUAACUCGGUGCCAGCAGCCGCGGUAAUACGGAGGGGCCGAGCGUUAUCCGGAUUUAUCGGGUUUAAGGGGCGCGUAGGUGGAUUGUUAAGUCAGUUGUGAAUGUUUGCGGCUAAACCGUAGAAUGGCAGUUGAAACUGGCAAUCUUGAGUACAGUAGGGGUAAGCGGAAUUCGUGGUGUAGCGGUGAAAUGCUUAGAUAUCAGGAAGAACUCCGAUGGCGAAGGCAGCUCACUGGACUGCAACUGACACUGAGGAGCGAAAGUGUGGGUAUCAAACAGGAUUAGAUACCCGUGUAGUC
RNAcentral lists this ribosomal RNA (460 nucleotides) under uncultured bacterium. RNAcentral's name for it is "partial 16S ribosomal RNA". It matches the Rfam family "Bacterial small subunit ribosomal RNA", at positions 338 to 795 of the family's 1533-position model. The record is from RNAcentral.